Molecule: long non-coding RNA, 885 nt
Organism: Pseudophryne corroboree (corroboree frog)
Lineage: Eukaryota; Metazoa; Chordata; Amphibia; Anura; Myobatrachidae
Exons: 4
Source: RefSeq, a predicted model, not a curated record
GCUAUUCAGCCACCAAGACAUAAUGAAGAAAUUUAUAGAAACAGGAAACUGUUUCAUUCUCUGAAUGUAAUGGUUGUUUGUGGGCCAUCCCUCCAGAUCCUUUCCCUGAAUGCCAAGUUUACUGGAAGUUCACAUGAUGCAUAUGUCAUUAGACAAUCAGGGAUAUGGCAGAGAUUAAGAGCAAGUCAACGAGCAGACAUGUGGUUAUUGGGAGACCGUGGAUAUCCUUGCACCCCCUGGCUCAUGACUCCUUACCGUAAUCCCAGGCCGGGACCACAGAUGGCAUUUAACUCCGCGCUUACUGCCACUAGGCAGCUGGUGGAGCGCACAAUUGGUGUCCUUAAAGGGCGGUUUCGUGUGCUCCACCGCACUGGUGGCGACAUCAUGUAUUCGCCGGAGAUGGCAAGUAAAAUAGUGGUCCUGUGCGCAAUACUACAUAAUAUCGCGGUAAGGAGUAGUGUAGAGCUUCCUCAGGCAGAGGAAUUGCCUGAUGAGGAGCCAGGGGUUGUUCGACACUUCGGUGGUGGGAGUGUUACACGGAGGGGGAGCCAAGUGAGGGCAAGGAUUGUUGCCGAAUAUUUCAGCUGAAUGAUCACACAAACUGUGGACAACAACAACGGCAGACCUCUCCGCCCCCUUCCCCUUCCCAGUCCCCCUCCCCUUCUCACUCCCCCUCCCCUUCUCACUCCCCCUCCCCUUCCCAGUCCCCCUCAUCUUCCCAGUCCCCCUCAUCUUCCCAGUCCCCCUCAGCUUCCCUGGCCCACACCACUUUACACUCCCCUUCUCACCACACCUCUCCAUCUCUUUCUGGGACCCCUUCUCCUCCUUCCCAUACCCCUUCUCCUUCAACUUCUAAAUCACCAUCUCUGCCCCCCUCACCCUCUA